RNAcentral lists this ribosomal RNA (730 nucleotides) under uncultured bacterium. RNAcentral describes it as "bacterial SSU rRNA". It matches the Rfam family "Bacterial small subunit ribosomal RNA", at positions 771 to 1501 of the family's 1533-position model. The record is from RNAcentral.
AACAGGAUUAGAUACCCUGGUAGUCCACGCUGUAAACGAUGUCGACUUGGAGGUUGUUCCCUUGAGGAGUGGCUUCCGGAGCUAACGCGUUAAGUCGACCGCCUGGGGAGUACGGCCGCAAGGUUAAAACUCAAAUGAAUUGACGGGGGCCCGCACAAGCGGUGGAGCAUGUGGUUUAAUUCGAUGCAACGCGAAGAACCUUACCUACUCUUGACAUCCAGAGAACUUAGCAGAGAUGCUUUGGUGCCUUCGGGAACUCUGAGACAGGUGCUGCAUGGCUGUCGUCAGCUCGUGUUGUGAAAUGUUGGGUUAAGUCCCGCAACGAGCGCAACCCUUAUCCUUUGUUGCCAGCGGUUCGGCCGGGAACUCAAAGGAGACUGCCAGUGAUAAACUGGAGGAAGGUGGGGAUGACGUCAAGUCAUCAUGGCCCUUACGAGUAGGGCUACACACGUGCUACAAUGGCAUAUACAAAGAGAAGCGACCUCGCGAGAGCAAGCGGACCUCAUAAAGUAUGUCGUAGUCCGGAUCGGAGUCUGCAACUCGACUCCGUGAAGUCGGAAUCGCUAGUAAUCGUGGAUCAGAAUGCCACGGUGAAUACGUUCCCGGGCCUUGUACACACCGCCCGUCACACCAUGGGAGUGGGUUGCAAAAGAAGUAGGUAGCUUAACCUUCGGGAGGGCGCUUACCACUUUGUGAUUCAUGACUGGGGUGAAGUCGUAACAAGGUAACC